UGCAAGUCGAACGGCAGCACGGGUACUUGUACCUGGUGGCGAGUGGCGAACGGGUGAGUAAUACAUCGGAACGUACCUUAUCGUGGGGGAUAACGCAGCGAAAGCUGUGCUAAUACCGCAUACGCCCUGAGGGGGAAAGCGGGGGAUCGAAAGACCUCGCGCGAUUAGAGCGGCCGAUGCUUGAUUAGCUUGUUGGUGGGGUAAAAGCCCACCAAGGCGACGAUCAAUAGCUGGUCUGAGAGGACGAUCAGCCACACUGGGACUGAGACGCGGCCCAGACUCCUACGGGAGGCAGCAGUGGGGAAUUUUGGACAAUGGGGGCAACCCUGAUCCAGCAAUGCCGCGUGAGUGAAGAAGGCCUUCGGGUUGUAAAGCUCUUUUGUCAGGGAAGAAACACCGGCUCUAACACAGUCCGGGAAUGACGGUACCUGAAGAAUAAGCACCGGCUAACUACGUGCCAGCAGCCGCGGUAAUACGUAGGGUGCAAGCGUUAAUCGGAAUUACUGGGCGUAAAGCGUGCGCAGGCGGUUCGUUGUGUCUGCUGUGAAAGCCCCGGGCUCAACCUGGGAAUGGCAGUGGAAACUGGCGAGCUGGAGUGUGGCAGAGGGGGGUGGAAUUCCACGUGUAGCAGUGAAAUGCGUAGAGAUGUGGAGGAACACCGAUGGCGAAGGCAGCCCCCUGGGCUGACACUGACGCUCAGGCACGAAAGCGUGGGGAGCAAACAGGAUUAGAUACCCUGGUAGUCCA
This 747-nucleotide ribosomal RNA is filed under the name uncultured bacterium. RNAcentral describes it as "bacterial SSU rRNA". It matches the Rfam family "Bacterial small subunit ribosomal RNA", at positions 56 to 797 of the family's 1533-position model. The record is from RNAcentral.